This 323-nucleotide long non-coding RNA is filed under the name Nicotiana benthamiana. RNAcentral describes it as "long non-coding RNA (NBEN_LNC001967)". The record is from RNAcentral. Lineage: Eukaryota; Viridiplantae; Streptophyta; Magnoliopsida; Solanales; Solanaceae.
ACAUAAGAUACUAUGAUCAUCAGAGUCGUAGUCAGUUGUCAUUGUAGUCUACACCUAUACUACCACCUUUCGAGUCCUCAAAAACUUAGUGCUUUGUGUUUCUCAGCUCUAAGAACAGUAUGUCCAAUUGACUGAGGUGUUCUCCUGAGUCUUUCGGCUACUAUGUCUGAGGAACUGAGUGCUUUUGGGUAAGAAGGAAGAGAUAUAUUUCGGACCAAAUUGGGACCAUAAGGAACCUGAUUCUGUAGGGAAUGUGUGUUAAAGUGUCCUUGCUGGUUAAGCGUUGUUACUGACUCUUCAGCUGCACGCCGUCUUGAGGCAUC